CAAAUUCAGAAACCCUGCUCAGCGAGCAGGUUUUUUUUGUAUCUGAAGCCUGACGAGGAUGAGAACCUCCGGGGGCAAGAGGUUCGACUCGAGCGAAGCGAGAGAACGUUGCGUCAGCAACGGCCCGCAGGGCGAGCCACGCAGUGGCGAGUCAUCCUCUAUCACCGACCA
Molecule: small RNA, 171 nt
Filed under: Salmonella enterica subsp. enterica serovar Enteritidis str. 2010K-0271
Lineage: Bacteria; Pseudomonadati; Pseudomonadota; Gammaproteobacteria; Enterobacterales; Enterobacteriaceae
Description: RtT RNA
Rfam family: RtT RNA (bases 38-171)
About the family: This family represents a bacterial cis-regulatory element known as RtT RNA. The exact function of RtT is unknown although it is thought that it may be involved in changing the cellular response in relation to amino acid starvation.
Source: RNAcentral